This 422-nucleotide ribosomal RNA is filed under the name uncultured bacterium. Its description in RNAcentral is "bacterial SSU rRNA". It matches the Rfam family "Bacterial small subunit ribosomal RNA", at positions 355 to 774 of the family's 1533-position model. The record is from RNAcentral.
UGAGGAAUAUUGGUCAAUGGGGGCAACCCUGAACCAGCCAAGUCGCGUGAGGGAUGAAGGUCUUAUGGAUUGUAAACUUCUUUUAUACAGGAAUAAAUUGGGGGACGUGUCCCCUUUUGCAUGUACUGUAUGAAUAAGGAUCGGCUAACUCCGUGCCAGCAGCCGCGGUAAUACGGAGGAUCCGAGCGUUAUCCGGAUUUAUUGGGUUUAAAGGGUGCGCAGGCGGGAUGUUAAGUCGGCGGUGAAAUUUUGCAGCUCAACUGUAAAAGUGCCUUGGAUACUGGCUUCCUUGAGUGUGGAUGAAGUAGGCGGAAUUUGUGGUGUAGCGGUGAAAUGCUUAGAUAUCACGAGGAACUCCGAUUGCGCAGGCAGCUUACUAAGCCACAACUGACGCUCAUGCACGAAGGCGUGGGGAUCAAACA